RNAcentral lists this transfer RNA (73 nucleotides) under Dreissena polymorpha. Its description in RNAcentral is "transfer RNA threonine (anticodon AGU)". It matches the Rfam family "tRNA". From Rfam's summary of the family: Transfer RNA (tRNA) molecules are approximately 80 nucleotides in length. Their secondary structure includes four short double-helical elements and three loops (D, anti-codon, and T loops). Further hydrogen bonds mediate the characteristic L-shaped molecular structure. tRNAs have two regions of fundamental functional importance: the anti-codon, which is responsible for specific mRNA codon recognition, and the 3' end, to which the tRNAs corresponding amino acid is attached (by aminoacyl-tRNA synthetases). tRNAs cope with the degeneracy of the genetic code in two manners: having more than one tRNA (with a specific anti-codon) for a particular amino acid; and 'wobble' base-pairing, i.e. permitting non-standard base-pairing at the 3rd anti-codon position. The record is from Rfam by way of RNAcentral. Lineage: Eukaryota; Metazoa; Mollusca; Bivalvia; Myida; Dreissenidae.
GGCUCCAUAGCUCAGUGGUUAGAGCGCCUGUCUAGUAAACAGGAGGUCGUGGGUUCGAUCCCCAUUGGAGCCU